GACGAACGCUGGCGGCGUGCUUAAUACAUGCAAGUCGAACGCUGAAGGAGGAGCUUGCUUCUCUGGAUGAGUUGCGAACGGGUGAGUAACGCGUAGGUAACCUGCCUGGUAGCGGGGGAUAACUAUUGGAAACGAUAGCUAAUACCGCAUAAUAGUAGAUGUUGCAUGACAUUUGCUUAAAAGGUGCAAUUGCAUCACUACCAGAUGGACCUGCGUUGUAUUGGCUAGUUGGUGGGGUAACGGCUCACCAAGGCGACGAUACAUAGCCGACCUGAGAGAGGGAUCGGCCACACUGGGGCGUAGACACGGCCCUUGCUCCUACGGGAGGCACCAGAAGGGAAUCGUCGGCAAUGGACGGAAAUCUUGCCGAGCAGCGGGGCGUGUGUGAAAACAGUUUUCGGAUCGUGAUGAUGUGUUGUAAGAGAUGAACGGGUUUGAGAGGGGAAAGUUCGCACGGGGACGGAAUCGGACCAGAAAGGGACGGCUAACUACGG
Molecule: ribosomal RNA, 494 nt
Filed under: uncultured bacterium
Lineage: Bacteria
Description: partial 16S ribosomal RNA
Rfam family: Bacterial small subunit ribosomal RNA
Source: RNAcentral